This is a long non-coding RNA of Mustela erminea (ermine), 653 nucleotides long. RefSeq lists it as uncharacterized. Lineage: Eukaryota; Metazoa; Chordata; Mammalia; Carnivora; Mustelidae. The transcript has 2 exons. The record is from RefSeq and is a predicted model, not a curated record.
GAAAGCACAAACAGAGGAAAUGGCAGGCAGAGGGAGAGGAAGAAGCAGGCUCCCGUUGAACACAGAGCCCGAUAGUGCGACUCGGUCCCAUGACCCGAGCUGAAGGCAGAGGCUUAACCCUCUGAGCCACCCAGGCACCCCUAUUGUGCUUAUUUAUUCAACAUGUCUAAACCUGAAGUGAUACCCCAAAUACUUCCCCUCCAUCAGAAUCUUCAAUUAAAGGAAUUCCUUUGCAGCCAUUCAAGUCCUGGGUAUUACCAUUGAUACCUCCUUCUUACUUGGUCCCCAAGUCCAAUCUGUUAACAAGUCUAAAAAGUUCUACUUAUUAAAUAUUUCUUGAACUCCAUGGACAAGAAAAAGAUUGGAGAAGUCCAGUCUUCCCAAGCAAAGAUUACAGCACAAUGGAGCAAAAGAAAAAUAUGAGUUUGGAUGCCUUAAAGAGACUAAGAAAAACUCUGCCAGUGCCACCCCUCUCACAAAGGCUACACAGGAUAGGACUGAACCACUAGUCAGUGGUAACUUCUCCACAAGGGAGAAAGAUAGAAGAGUAAGUGCCUGGCUGUGUUGGACAUUGGAGAAACCCAUUUCUCUCCAGCAGCACUCGUAGUACUGAAGCAGGACCUCUGUGACUGGGGGGAAAGGAGGAGAUAUGG